GCGCCCUUAGCUCAGCUGGAUAGAGUACCUGGCUACGAACCAGGCGGUCGGAGGUUCGAAUCCUACAGGGCGCGCCA
Molecule: transfer RNA, 77 nt
Filed under: Vibrio anguillarum
Lineage: Bacteria; Pseudomonadati; Pseudomonadota; Gammaproteobacteria; Vibrionales; Vibrionaceae
Description: tRNA-Arg
Rfam family: tRNA
About the family: Transfer RNA (tRNA) molecules are approximately 80 nucleotides in length.
Source: RNAcentral